RNAcentral lists this ribosomal RNA (450 nucleotides) under uncultured bacterium. RNAcentral describes it as "bacterial SSU rRNA". It matches the Rfam family "Bacterial small subunit ribosomal RNA", at positions 354 to 796 of the family's 1533-position model. The record is from RNAcentral.
GUGGGGAAUUUUGGACAAUGGGGGCAACCCUGAUCCAGCCAUUCCGCGUGAGUGAAGAAGGCCUUCGGGUUGUAAAGCUCUUUCGGCAGGAACGAAACGGUGGGCUCUAACAUAGUCUGCUAAUGACGGUACCUGAAGAAGAAGCACCGGCUAACUACGUGCCAGCAGCCGCGGUAAUACGUAGGGUGCGAGCGUUAAUCGGAAUUACUGGGCGUAAAGCGUGCGCAGGCGGUUUUGUAAGACAGGUGUGAAAUCCCCGGGCUUAACCUGGGAACUGCGCUUGUGACUGCAAGACUCGAGUGCGGCAGAGGGGGGUGGAAUUCCACGUGUAGCAGUGAAAUGCGUAGAGAUGUGGAGGAACACCGAUGGCGAAGGCAGCCCCCUGGGUCGACACUGACGCUCAUGCACGAAAGCGUGGGUAGCAAACAGGAUUAGAUACCCGGGUAGUCC